This 1274-nucleotide ribosomal RNA is filed under the name Mycolicibacterium austroafricanum. RNAcentral describes it as "bacterial SSU rRNA". It matches the Rfam family "Bacterial small subunit ribosomal RNA", at positions 60 to 1348 of the family's 1533-position model. Lineage: Bacteria; Bacillati; Actinomycetota; Actinomycetes; Mycobacteriales; Mycobacteriaceae. The record is from RNAcentral.
AGUCGAACGGAAAGGCCCUUCGGGGUACUCGAGUGGCGAACGGGUGAGUAACACGUGGGUGAUCUGCCCUGCACUUUGGGAUAAGCCUGGGAAACUGGGUCUAAUACCGAAUACACCCUUCUGGCUGCAUGGUCUGGUUGGGGAAAGCUUUUGCGGUGUGGGAUGGGCCCGCGGCCUAUCAGCUUGUUGGUGAGGUUACGGCUCACCAAGGCGACGACGGGUAGCCGGCCUGAGAGGGUGACCGGCCACACUGGGACUGAGAUACGGCCCAGACUCCUACGGGAGGCAGCAGUGGGGAAUAUUGCACAAUGGGCGCAAGCCUGAUGCAGCGACGCCGCGUGAGGGAUGACGGCCUUCGGGUUGUAAACCUCUUUCGCCAGGGACGAAGCGCAAGUGACGGUACCUGGAGAAGAAGGACCGGCCAACUACGUGCCAGCAGCCGCGGUAAUACGUAGGGUCCGAGCGUUGUCCGGAAUUACUGGGCGUAAAGAGCUCGUAGGUGGUUUGUCGCGUUGUUCGUGAAAACUCACAGCUCAACUGUGGGCGUGCGGGCGAUACGGGCAGACUGGAGUACUGCAGGGGAGACUGGAAUUCCUGGUGUAGCGGUGGAAUGCGCAGAUAUCAGGAGGAACACCGGUGGCGAAGGCGGGUCUCUGGGCAGUAACUGACGCUGAGGAGCGAAAGCGUGGGGAGCGAACAGGAUUAGAUACCCUGGUAGUCCACGCCGUAAACGGUGGGUACUAGGUGUGGGUUUCCUUCCUUGGGAUCCGUGCCGUAGCUAACGCAUUAAGUACCCCGCCUGGGGAGUACGGCCGCAAGGCUAAAACUCAAAGAAAUUGACGGGGGCCCGCACAAGCGGCGGAGCAUGUGGAUUAAUUCGAUGCAACGCGAAGAACCUUACCUGGGUUUGACAUGCACAGGACGUGCCUAGAGAUAGGUAUUCCCUUGUGGCCUGUGUGCAGGUGGUGCAUGGCUGUCGUCAGCUCGUGUCGUGAGAUGUUGGGUUAAGUCCCGCAACGAGCGCAACCCUUAUCUUAUGUUGCCAGCGCGUAAUGGCGGGGACUCGUGAGAGACUGCCGGGGUCAACUCGGAGGAAGGUGGGGAUGACGUCAAGUCAUCAUGCCCCUUAUGUCCAGGGCUUCACACAUGCUACAAUGGCCGGUACAAAGGGCUGCGAUGCCGUGAGGUGGAGCGAAUCCUUUCAAAGCCGGUCUCAGUUCGGAUCGGGGUCUGCAACUCGACCCCGUGAAGUCGGAGUCGCUAGUAAUCGCAGA